GAAAUUCGAGCAGAAGUGACGUCACCGGCAUACGACGCCAUUUGCUUACGACGCCAUUAGUGCUUCGAAGUGUUCAACAAGUAUCAUCGUAACUGAAAUUCGAGCAGAAGUGACGUCACCGGCAUACGACGCCAUUUGCUUAUACGACGCCAUUAGUGCUUCGAAGUAUUCAACAAGCAUCACAUUUUUAUGACCGCGCGCAAUGCGGUCUGUAGAAUCAGUGUUUGUUUCGUCGAGUAAUUCGUCAUUUUUUGAGGCAAAGUUGCUUCGAGUAGCGUUGCGUUUACAGUUCAGGUACACGUGAAGGUCGAGUCAGUGUCUAUUGCGUAUAUACAAAUUCUUUCCAGAGCAUCGUGGCUCUUUACUUUCUGAAUCGCGACCGUAUAGAGUCUCUUG
Molecule: long non-coding RNA, 396 nt
Organism: Colletes gigas
Lineage: Eukaryota; Metazoa; Arthropoda; Insecta; Hymenoptera; Colletidae
Exons: 3
Source: RefSeq, a predicted model, not a curated record